UGAGGAACAUGACUUUCGGCGGGGGAUAGCCGGCCCAACGGCCGGGUAAUACCGCGUACGACCUUUUGGGGACAUCCCCGAUUGGUGAAAGCAGCAAUGCGCCGAUGGAGUGCCUCGCGGCCUAUCAGCUAGUUGGUGAGGUAACGGCUCACCAAGGCGACGACGGGUAGCUGGUCUGAGAGGAUGGCCAGCCACAUUGGGACUGAGACACGGUCCAGACCUCCGUACGGGGAG
Molecule: ribosomal RNA, 234 nt
Filed under: uncultured bacterium
Lineage: Bacteria
Description: partial 16S ribosomal RNA
Rfam family: Bacterial small subunit ribosomal RNA
Source: RNAcentral